GUUCUGCCUCUCCAGGCUGAUUCUGCUACCUGGUCUCAGGCUUCUAGUACUUCACCUCUUCUUCAGCACUUUGCUUCAUCGCUUGGCCCUUCUCUUUGGGGGAUGUUCAUGAUGUCAAGAUAAUGCACAAUUUUUUCUGCCUGUGUUACCUUCUUCACUUUUUCUUUAUUACACAUGUAGCUGUCUUUGGCUUUGUACUAGACACCUUUGCCUCACCUACAGAUUACCACUUUCUAGCAUCCCCUCUACCACAUUUCUUUUCUUCUUAGUACAAAUUAUUAACCUUGUGAACCAACUCUAACAUCUUGCCCUGUGCCACCUUUCCAGAUGAUAUCAACUCCUGUGACCUGGAUGGCCCACAAGUAUCUCAAACUUAAUAUGUAUCCUAUAUGUGCCUUGUCUCCAAUUGUGAUGUUGUCAGUCCGUCAAUUCUCCUUGCUUAGCCUCUUGAUUUUUCCCUUGGUGUCCACCUUGUCUCAGCUCAAACAUGUGCGUGCACACUCACACAUAGAGGAUCACCAAAUUUGAUUGAAGUUAUCACAUCUUUUCUGAUCGCUCCUUGGCCAGGGUGUCUACCCUUGUUCAGGCAUCAUCUCUUAUGGGAGGUUGUUAUGGAUAACCUUCUUGUAUGGCCUUCCCCCCACACCCUAGCCUCUGCCUGCUGUGGUGCAGUCUGUAUGAUGCCAACCAGAGUCUCUGAGUCAAAUCCCAUCAGGCCGUUACUUCAAAGCCACAGCUGGCUCUCAGUGUUUGUUCAGACUCCACACCAUGGCCUCAUAUGCAGAUUCUUCCCAGAACUCUCCUCCCACCACUUAUCCUAGGACUCCAGGCAUUCUAGCACCAGCCUUCAAAGAGGCCACACUCUUUCAUGCCUCAGGUCUUUUUUGCCUUUGUCUGUGCUAUUUCAUGUUCACUCACCUUCUGGCAAACUCAGCACUCCUUCCCAGCCCAGAUAUGAUCAUCUCUUGUGAAGCUUUUUGUUCCCCAACACACACCCCAGCCUCAUGAUGUGUGCUGUGUGCUCCAUGAUGUUGCGAACUGCCCUGGGUGGUGUUUCAUUUCUCUACUACUCUAUUUCCCAGUCAGUAGGAUGUGUUGGGCAUGCCUAGAGAACAUAGGAUUCUCCUGAGAGACUACCUCCUGCUUUCUUCUGGGGCUCUGAGCCUAGUUUGUCUGAGUGAGAAGUGUGGUUGCGUGGCUGAGUAAAAGGAUCCUGCUGACACAUUUUUUGUCCUUCUAGGUUGUUCUUUGUGGGGUCUCGUGAGGGCCAUCUUCCGGACCUUCUGUCUAUGAUCCACAUUGAGCGUUUUACACCCAUCCCUGCUUUAUUGUUCAAUGUAAGCUCUGCUGGGGGAGUAUGGGAAUUGGACACAUCUGUGUGUUACUCCUCCUGCUGACUUUAUGAGGAGACUGUUGGGUGGGAGGAAUACUAGUUUCUUGAGAUGCUUCCUGAGCUCCUUAGUGUUUCUUCCUUUUUCUUAAAAUUAUUUUAAAAUAUGAAAGUAAAACAUGGUCAUAUUAGAGAAGGCCGACACUACAAAAGCAUAGCAAAAAUGAAUUUGUAAGAUUUAUCUUUCUUUUCUCUAUGUCAGUAGCUUCUUCUCUUUCUUCUAGCUCUUUUUUUGUCUUUUUGCUGAGGAAGAUUUGCCCUGUGCUAACAUCUUUGCCAGUCUUCCUCUGUUUUGAAAGUAGGUUGCUGUCACAGCAUGGGCGCUGACGAGUGGUGUAGGUCUAUGCCCAGGAACCGAAACCUAGCUGCCAAAGCAGAGUGUGCCAAACUUAACCACUAGGCCACAGGGCUGGCACAUAGCUCUUUUUUUUUUUUUAAGAUUGGCACCUGAGCUAACAACUCCUGCCAAUCUUCUUUUUUUUUUCUGCUUUUUCUCCCCAAAUCCACCCAGUACAUAGUUGUGCAUUUUAGUUGUAGGUCCUUCUAGUUGUGGCAUGUAGGAUGCCACCUCUCUGUGGCUUGAUGAGCAGUGCCAUGUCUACGCCCAGGAUCCAAACCAGCGAAACCCUGGGCCACCAAAGCAGAGUGUGCAAACUUAACCACUUGGCCAUCGGGCCGGCCCCAGCUCUUUUUUUUUAAUUAAAUAAUUUUUAGAAAAGUCAGGUCAGUUGUACACCAACUACCCUAGGAGCUUCUAUUCAAAUCAUAGAUAUCAUAGAUUUAUAUAUAGUGAAUUGCAGUAAAAUGUUUUUAUUUUAUUUAUUUAUUUAUUUAUUUGAGAAAGAUUAGCCCUGAGCUAAAAUCUGCUGCCAAUCUUCCUCUACUUUAUAUGUGGGGCACCUGCCACAGCAUGGCUUGCCGAGUGGUGCCAUGUCCGCACCCAGGAUCCGAACCAGCGAACCCCGGGCCACCAAAGUGGAAUGGGCGCACUUAACCGCUGCACCACCAGGCUGGCCCCAGUAAAAUGUUUUAUUCCAACAAAAUCAGUAAAUUAUGAAAGUAUUCUGACAGAUGGAAAGAGUCCUGGAGAAGGACCUUCAUUUUCUAAUUUGCACUAAGGUAUUAUAUAUAUAAAGGCUAACAGGGAUCCUGAGAAAGGCCUUACUCCAGGAUUGGAAAAACAGC
Molecule: long non-coding RNA, 2575 nt
Filed under: Equus caballus (horse)
Lineage: Eukaryota; Metazoa; Chordata; Mammalia; Perissodactyla; Equidae
Description: lncRNA (ENSECAG00000045455.1)
Source: RNAcentral